This 734-nucleotide ribosomal RNA is filed under the name Bradyrhizobium elkanii. RNAcentral's name for it is "partial 16S ribosomal RNA". The stretch from base 1 to 307 matches the Rfam family "Bacterial small subunit ribosomal RNA", at positions 77 to 400 of the family's 1533-position model. Lineage: Bacteria; Pseudomonadati; Pseudomonadota; Alphaproteobacteria; Hyphomicrobiales; Nitrobacteraceae. The record is from RNAcentral.
GGGAUAGCAAUAUGUCAUCGGCAGACGGGAGAGUAACGCCCUUUACGCGUGCGCGUUUGGAACGGAACAACUCAUAUACACUUCCGCCAGUCCAGAAUUAGCUCUUAAGGCAUGAAAAUUCUCGGCGAAAGAGCGGCCCGCGUCUGACUAACUGGUUGGUGAGGUAAAGGCUCGCCAAGGCGACGAUCAGUAGCUGGCCUGGGCACAUGAUCAGCCACAUUGGGACUGACAAACGCGCCAAACUCCUACGGGAGGUAUCUGCGGGGAAUAUUGGACAAGGCGCACCACCGUGAUCCAGCCAUGCUGCGUGACCGAUGAAGUGCCUAGGCUUGUCUCCCCCUUUUUCUCCCGGGCAGAUCCUCGACGUUACAUUAUUCCUACCCACGCGGCCAACUUCCCAUCCAGUCAACCUGUCGUUAAUUCCCAAUAGGCACCCAGAGCUCCCUCAAACACUCUCUGCGGCGUAAAACGUAGACCGUCUAAUGCCGUCUUUUCAGGGUUUGGCCGCCCUCCUAUUCCUUAAGUACCAACUUCUCCCCCACCUUCCCCUUUCUUCCUCCUCGCCACCCGCCCUGUAAUCCCCCCCCCGUUUUCCUCAUCUCUGUAUCACCCCCCCGUUCACCCCCCCCCAAUUUAACAUUCUUUCGUAUACUUCGCUCUGAGGCAGGCCCUCUCCUGUUAGCUACGCACAAUCCCCCCCUUCUCUUGCAAGCACUUUGCGUCCUCUUCUCCCC